Long non-coding RNA from Gasterosteus aculeatus aculeatus (three-spined stickleback), 392 nucleotides. NCBI's taxonomy places the organism in Eukaryota, Metazoa, Chordata, Actinopteri, Perciformes, Gasterosteidae. The record is from Ensembl.
GCCGCCGUGAGCGGGUGGACGCACUGUGACGCCUUCGCACAGCGUCGGCGAAGCGGAGACGGGGAUAUUCGUUGUGAUAAAAGAGGCUUGUUUUGCUUUGUUCCCCCCGACUGGCGAUGUUAAAUGGUGCGACAGUUUGUUUUCGACAGUAGCCUUGUUCCUGUUUCAGAGGAGGAGACACCGAUGAUGUAACGAGGAGAACCGGGACUGAUAACGGAGAAUCAGACUGAAGAUGCUGCCGUCGCUCUUCACUGUGCUGCGGACCUUCACCGAGCUCCAAGACGACAAGAGCCUCACAGCCGACAGACCUAUGAUGACCAAAGACGUUCGCCCCCCUCAGCAGCCAGCUCAAAUAUAACAUAUUAGAAGGGCACAAAGAAAUAACACGUCUA